RNAcentral lists this ribosomal RNA (505 nucleotides) under uncultured bacterium. Its description in RNAcentral is "partial 16S ribosomal RNA". It matches the Rfam family "Bacterial small subunit ribosomal RNA", at positions 28 to 507 of the family's 1533-position model. The record is from RNAcentral.
GACGAACGCUGGCGGCGUGCCUAAUACAUGCAAGUAGAACGCACAGUUUAUACCGUAGCUUGCUACACCAUAGACUGUGAGUUGCGAACGGGUGAGUAACGCGUAGGUAACCUGCCUGGUAGCGGGGGAUAACUAUUGGAAACGAUAGCUAAUACCGCAUAAUAUUAAUUAUUGCAUGAUAAUUAAUUGAAAGGUGCAAUUGCACAACUACCAGAUGAACCUGCGUUGUAUUAGCUAGUAGGUGAGGUAACGGCUCACCUAGGCGACGAUACAUAGCCGACCUGAGAGGGUGAUCGGCCACACUGGGACUGAGACACGGCCCAGACUCCUACGGGAGGCAGCAGUAGGGAAUCUUCGGCAAUGGACGAAAGUCUGACCGAGCAACGCCGCGUGAGUGAAGAAGGUUUUCGGAUCGUAAAGCUCUGUUGUAAGAGAAGAACGGGUGUGAGAGUGGAAAGUUCACACUGUGACGGUAUCUUACCAGAAAGAGACGGCUAACUACGUG